GAGUGGGGAAGGUCACGCUGCCAGCCACUGGUGCCCAUGGCGCCCACGAGACCCAGAGGCCAGGUGGAGCAGACCACUGCGGGCACUCGGGGAGACCAGGGAGCGGGGCACAGGGAGGAGGGACGUGCAGAGAGAGGGCUGUGUGGCCCUGUGGGCAGCCGUGCUCCUGUGCCAACCUGAGGCCCAUUGGCCUGAGCUGCCAGGAAGAUGGAAUUGUUACAACCCAAGCAGGGGGCCGGGAAGGGGGCUGAGCCAGGGCAGGAGCCCCUGGGCAUCUAGCAGGAGAUGCCUGCUCAGGUGCGUUCCAGCCAGGGCAUGGCCAGGGUGCUGUUGGGAAGGGGGUUCUAGAGAGGGCCCUGGCAAAAGGCUGCCCCCCCACUCAGGGAUGCCCCAGCCCCAUGUCCCCAAGAAAGCCAGGCAGCCACUCCACAUGGUGGUUUAUGCCGGGGGACUAGGCUGUCUGUCCUGGAAGGCAGAUGUGCCCAGGAGGGGUGUCCCCCACCCGCACAGACAGAAGGGCCAGGCUGCUGCUGGAGAAAGGGGGCAUCUGAGAGGAUAAGUGCCAAUUUGGCUGGGAGGUGGGAGGGGUGGAUGCAGGGACAAGAGGGCGUGGCCCUGGGCGGGAGAGCUGCACUGCCGUCCUGGGAGGCUGGGACGCCCUGGGGGCAGGCAGCGGAUGCCCCAGUGGCUGCUGUGCUGUACGCAGCUGGAGCAAGGCAGGGCUUCCCCCACUGUCCGCAGCCCAGGGCCUCUGCCUCGCCUGGGACUGAGCAGGUGUGACACACCGCAGCUGGGGCCAGGGGUCCAGGCUGGGGGAGGAGGGAGGGUGGCCGACCACUGAGCAACCAGGUACAGCCUCCUGCAGCUCACGGCCACACCAAGGGCGUGUGGCUCCGUCCCUGCCAAGGUGAAGGCCGUGGCCCUGAUGUGGGCAUGCGGCCUCCGGUUAGCGUUUCAGCUCUGUUCCCAUGGAAACCAAAUUUGGAGACUCCAGCGACCCUGACCCCCACCUGGUGGCCUGCGUGCAAGCAGGAGAGCCACAGGAAGGUGUGUGGCCAACUCCCGCGCCCGCUCCACGCCCCCUACGUGGACACAGGCGUCCACUCUCCCCGGCGAGCGAACCCCGCAGCCAGCACCACCCUCUGCAGGUCCGUGGACGCCGACCUCAGGAUCUGACGCUCGUUCCAUGGGACCCAAGGACCCACCCUGCCCAGCGGGUCCUCCCCAGGCCAGGCACCACCACCGCUCAGGAGUUUGUCAGAGCAAAUGGGCAGCAGGCAGCUGGAAUUAGAACCCAGUGCCCCGCAGGCCACGGUGCAGCCCAGGCCUGGGCCAGGCGUCCCUCUGGAGCCCGCACCUCGGCCACGCAGGGUGUUGCUGGGCCUCUUUGUGGGGACUGAGAGCCGGCAGGGGGAACAGCACGGCUCUAAGGGUGGCCUCCCCCAUGUG
This 1449-nucleotide long non-coding RNA is filed under the name Sus scrofa (pig). Its description in RNAcentral is "lncRNA (ENSSSCG00005024411.1)". Lineage: Eukaryota; Metazoa; Chordata; Mammalia; Artiodactyla; Suidae. The record is from RNAcentral.